CUACAAUCAAAAUCGGUAACUAUCAGCUUUCAGGGGGGUCUCAGGUUAUCAUGACGAUCGGGGUAAAGGAUGAACUACUAUUGCGGUCUGAAUUGAGGGAGUUUUGAUAAAGUUUUGAUAACCGUUCGAAUACUAAUAAUAAAAACGGGGACGUUAA
This 157-nucleotide small RNA is filed under the name Salmonella enterica subsp. enterica serovar Typhimurium str. SL1344. Its description in RNAcentral is "STnc150". It matches the Rfam family "STnc150 Hfq binding RNA", at positions 91 to 248 of the family's 267-position model. The record is from RNAcentral. Lineage: Bacteria; Pseudomonadati; Pseudomonadota; Gammaproteobacteria; Enterobacterales; Enterobacteriaceae.